CCUACGGGAGACAGCAGUGGGGGAUAUUGCACAAUGGGGGGAACCCUGAUGCAGCGACGCCGCGUGGGUGAAGGAGUGCUUCGGCAUGUAAAGCCCUAUCGGCAGGGAAGAAGCAAGACGGUACCUGACUAAGAAGCCCCGGCUAACUACGUGCCAGCAGCCGCGGUAAUACGUAGGGGGCGAGCGUUAUCCGGAUUCACUGGGUGGAAAGGGAGCGUAGACGGCCAUGCAAGCCAGGGGUGAAAGCCCGGGGCCCAACCCCGGGACUGCCCUUGGAACUGCAUGGCUGGAGUGCGGGAGGGGCAGGCGGAAUUCCUGGUGUAGCGGUGAAAUGCGUAGAUAUCAGGAGGAACACCGGCGGCGAAGGCGGCCUGCUGGACCGCGACUGACGUUGAGGCUCGAAAGCGUGGGGAGCGAACAGGAUUAGAUACCCUUGUAGUC
RNAcentral lists this ribosomal RNA (441 nucleotides) under uncultured bacterium. RNAcentral's name for it is "partial 16S ribosomal RNA". It matches the Rfam family "Bacterial small subunit ribosomal RNA", at positions 338 to 795 of the family's 1533-position model. The record is from RNAcentral.